Molecule: ribosomal RNA, 1315 nt
Filed under: metagenome
Description: bacterial SSU rRNA
Rfam family: Bacterial small subunit ribosomal RNA
Source: RNAcentral
GGGUGAGUAAUACAUCGGAACGUGUCCUGUAGUGGGGGAUAGCCCGGCGAAAGCCGGAUUAAUACCGCAUACGACCUACGGGUGAAAGCGGGGGACCGCAAGGCCUCGCGCUACAGGAGCGGCCGAUGUCAGAUUAGCUAGUUGGUGGGGUAAAGGCCUACCAAGGCGACGAUCUGUAGCUGGUCUGAGAGGACGACCAGCCACACUGGGACUGAGACACAGCCCAGACUCCCACGGGAGGCAGCAGUGGGGAAUUUUGGACAAUGGGGGCAACCCUGAUCCAGCCAUGCCGCGUGCGGGAAGAAGGCCUUCGGGUUGUAAACCGCUUUUGUCGGGGAAGAAACGGUCUGCGCUAAUACCGCAGGCUUAUGACGGUACCCGAAGAAUAAGCACCGGCUAACUACGUGCCAGCAGCCGCGGUAAUACGUAGGGUGCAAGCGUUAAUCGGAAUUACUGGGCGUAAAGCGUGCGCAGGCGGCUUUGCAAGACAGAUGUGAAAUCCCCGGGCUCAACCUGGGAACUGCAUUUGUGACUGCAUGGCUGGAGUGCGGCAGAGGGGGAUGGAAUUCCGCGUGUAGCAGUGAAAUGCGUAGAUAUGCGGAGGAACACCGGUGGCGAAGGCAAUCCCCUGGGCCUGCACUGACGCUCAUGCACGAAAGCGUGGGGAGCAAACAGGAUUAGAUACCCUGGUAGUCCACGCCCUAAACGAUGUCAACUGGUUGUUGGACGGCUUGCUGUUCAGUAACGAAGCUAACGCGUGAAGUUGACCGCCUGGGGAGUACGGCCGCAAGGUUGAAACUCAAAGGAAUUGACGGGGACCCGCACAAGCGGUGGAUGAUGUGGUUUAAUUCGAUGCAACGCGAAAAACCUUACCUACCCUUGACAUGCCAGGAACUUACCAGGGAUGGUUUGGUGCUCGAAAGAGAGCCUGGACACAGGUGCUGCAUGGCCGUCGUCAGCUCGUGUCGUGAGAUGUUGGGUUAAGUCCCGCAACGAGCGCAACCCUUAUCAUUAGUUGCUACGCAAGGGCACUCUAAUGAGACUGCCGGUGACAAACCGGAGGAAGGUGGGGAUGACGUCAGGUCAUCAUGGCCCUUAUGGGUAGGGCUACACACGUCAUACAAUGGCCGGUACAGAGGGCUGCCAACCCGCGAGGGGGAGCUAAUCUCAGAAAACCGGUCGUAGUCCGGAUCGCAGUCUGCAACUCGACUGCGUGAAGUCGGAAUCGCUAGUAAUCGCGGAUCAGCUUGCCGCGGUGAAUACGUUCCCGGGUCUUGUACACACCGCCCGUCACACCAUGGGAGCGGGUUCUGCC